GGAAAUGAGAGAUGUAUUUUAAUAAAGUAAUGUAAUCAAAGUUAUGUUGUGAAUAUAUUUGAUUGAUGUGAGCAAUUCAUCCAAACAAACAAAAAGAGAAGUUGCCCACGUCCCAUUGAAAACCAAGUUCUGUGUACAACUUUUUCACUUGGCUGGGUCGAGCAUUGUGCUGAAGUACGUAUUACCAUUUUCAGGAAGACCAACUGAACUCAAGUAUCGUCAAAUUCUUGUAAGGGAGAAAAGUUAUACAUUUUUCUUGGAUUAAGAGCAUUUAUAUUCUAAAUGUCCACAGAGACAUCAUACGAAUUCAUCUUGUAGCUUAAAUUGUUUGCACUUUGUAUUAAUAAAUUUUCUAUCCACGGAGAUUUUGAG
RNAcentral lists this long non-coding RNA (372 nucleotides) under Vitis vinifera (wine grape). RNAcentral's name for it is "long non-coding RNA (VVIN_LNC007751)". The record is from RNAcentral. Lineage: Eukaryota; Viridiplantae; Streptophyta; Magnoliopsida; Vitales; Vitaceae.